RNAcentral lists this ribosomal RNA (253 nucleotides) under uncultured bacterium. RNAcentral describes it as "partial 16S ribosomal RNA". It matches the Rfam family "Bacterial small subunit ribosomal RNA", at positions 524 to 776 of the family's 1533-position model. The record is from RNAcentral.
UACGUAGGGGGCAAGCGUUGUCCGGAUUUAUUGGGCGUAAAGAGCGUGUAGGCGGCCAGACAGGUCCGUUGUGAAAACUGGAGGCUUAACCUUCAGACGUCGAUGGAAACCGUCUGGCUAGAGUCCGGAAGAGGAGAGUGGAAUUCCUGGUGUAGCGGUGAGAUGCGCAGAUAUCAGGAAGAACACCCGUGGCUAAGGCGGCUCUCUAGUACGGUACUGACGCUGAGACGCGAAAGCGUGGGGAGCGAACAGG